GCAUGGGGUCUUGACUACAAAAUAGUUUACUUUGACAACCGUCUAUUUUGGAGCUCGCCCAGCUAUCGUGGUCAAGCAAAUAGUCCAUUCUACGGAGACAGUACUGUCUGAAAAUCUGAUCCGAUCAGAGAUGUGUUCCUCUCUGCCAGUAGCUCAGAACUCAAGUUCAUAUGAACAAAAGUAUCAUAAAAUAAAAUAUCAAUAAAAUUUUUAUUAUCGACUAGG
This 225-nucleotide long non-coding RNA is filed under the name Elaeis guineensis (African oil palm). RNAcentral describes it as "long non-coding RNA (EGUI_LNC028295)". The record is from RNAcentral. Lineage: Eukaryota; Viridiplantae; Streptophyta; Magnoliopsida; Arecales; Arecaceae.